Molecule: long non-coding RNA, 560 nt
Organism: Homo sapiens (human)
Lineage: Eukaryota; Metazoa; Chordata; Mammalia; Primates; Hominidae
Source: Ensembl
ACUUGCUGAGUAAAGGGGCCUUUGGGCCCUGAAUAAUCAGCAGUGGUCGCCAGGUAGUACAUGUCGUGGGCCUUGGGUGAACCUCUGAGACUUACUGGCUUCAGGAAAGAAUGGAAACGGCCUCUCACAGCAGAGAACUGGUCACUGCGCACUGCUCCACAGCUAAGAAAGUUUUCCAGGUGGUCUAGCGCUCCUAACAAACACCUUAUGAUUAUCCUUCAUUCAACAGAGGAGGAGACUGCAGGCAUGCUUCAGUCAGUGUGGUACAGAUCUGACUGAAGACAAAAGUAUAAAUUCAAGAUUACUUCCAUUUCUGCAUAGACAAGGAAUUUGGAUCUUGGUGCUCCUGUAUUUGUGUAUCUGAAAAAAAGGCAUCAUCUUCUUCAUCACUAUGAAUGCUUUCAUCAGAAUCAUAUAUAACACCACUAUCAGACAAAGGAAGAAAUGGCUGCAAUAAAAGAUAAUGCUACAUCUACAAAAGUCAAGAUGACAAGGCUCUAAAUCAAUAUCAUCCGUUGGUAUAUCCUGGAUUUGAAACAGCUCUGAAUACUGAUCCUCUG